Long non-coding RNA from Cyprinus carpio (common carp), 509 nucleotides. RefSeq lists it as uncharacterized. The record is from RefSeq and is a predicted model, not a curated record. NCBI's taxonomy places the organism in Eukaryota, Metazoa, Chordata, Actinopteri, Cypriniformes, Cyprinidae.
UCUUCCUGCCCAUAAACUCAAGGCACAGCUGUGCCUUUGUUUUCUAUGAUAAUGUGAAGGUAUGGGCGAUACUGUCAGGCACCUCUGUAUUUAAAUGACACUGUUAUGCUGAUGAGAUCAAGGCUGGGAGAAUGCCAGUGUCUGGCACUUUCCUGAUUCCAUUUUGCUUGCUUUGUUUAAAUUGUCUCCACCUCUAUGUAUCCCUCGCCCUUGAAAUGUAUAUAAACUCCAAAGUAUCACUGCUUUGGUUAGACUUUUGAUGACUGUAGCGCUGAGCAGAGCGUUCUCAAUAAAGAAUGCUGCUGAAGAUUACCCAAGAGUCUCCUGGUCUUCGCUUCUGAGUUUCCAACAGUUUUGGUGCCGUGACCUGGAUAGAGCUUCUCACCUGAAUCCAGAUUGAAACUUCAAGCUCAACAAAGAUCUGACUUCGUUCCAGACUGAAUCUUUCUGUACAACCAAGGGUUGGUAUGUGUGCAUGAGAUGUCAUCUCCAUAAGCAGCACCCUGGUG